AGAAUCAACGCUGGCGGCGUGCCUAACACAUGCAAGUCGCACGAGAAAGUGGAGCAAUCCAUGAGUAAAGUGGCGCACGGGUGAGUAACACGUGAAUAAUCUACCUCCGAGUGGGGAAUAACUGAGAGAAAUCUUAGCUAAUACCGCAUAAUACCCACGGGUCAAAGCAGCAAUGCGCUUGGAGAGGAGUUCGCGGCCGAUUAGUUAGUUGGCGGGGUAAUGGCCCACCAAGACGAUGAUCGGUAUCCGGCCCGAGAGGGCGCACGGACACACUGGAACUGAAACACGGUCCAGACUCCUACGGGAGGCAGCAGUGGGGAAUUUUGCGCAAUGGGGGAAACCCUGACGCAGCAACGCCGCGCGGAGGAUGAAGCCCCUUGGGGUGUAAACUCCUUCGAUCGGGAAGAUAAUGACGGUACCGAUAUAAGAAGCCCCGGCUAACUUCGUGCCAGCAGCCGC
Molecule: ribosomal RNA, 459 nt
Filed under: uncultured bacterium
Lineage: Bacteria
Description: SSU rRNA
Rfam family: Bacterial small subunit ribosomal RNA
Source: RNAcentral